Molecule: long non-coding RNA, 276 nt
Filed under: Mytilus galloprovincialis (Mediterranean mussel)
Lineage: Eukaryota; Metazoa; Mollusca; Bivalvia; Mytilida; Mytilidae
Source: RNAcentral
AUAAAAUUGAGAAUGGAAAUAGGGAAUGUGUCAAAGAGACAACAACCCGACCAAAUAAAAAACAACAGCAGAGGGUCACCAACAGGUCUUCAAUGUAGCGAGAAAUUCCCGCACCCGGAGGCGUCCUUCAGCUGGCCCCUAAACAAAUAUAUACUAGUCCAGUGAUAAUGAACGCCAUACUAAUUUCCAAAUUGUACACAAGAAACUAAAAUUAAAAUAAUACAAGACUUACAAAGGCCAGAGGCUCCUGACUUGGGACAGGCGCAAAAAUGCGGC